GGACGGCUCUUUAAAAUCGCCCUCUCUUGCUUGAGGCAGAUUUUAAGAAAAUGUGAUUGGAAAUAGAUUAAAGUUAAAACAAUUUCUGCGCUAUUCCCGCUUUUAUAUAUGGUAUAAUUGUUUCUAAAUUCACAAGGGCACGUAAGAAAUUGGAAGGUAUAAAUUUAUGCCUCAAAAGAAUAAUGUAACGCUAUGAGGUCACUAAAGCUAAUUAGCCGAAGCUGGAAAGAAAUGUCUUUCUACAAUAUGCCGACAAAACUCAUUGCUAGAAAAUCACACCACUGGCAGAACAGACAUCCGGUCCCUUGAACUGUCCCUUUAAGGCAGCAGAACCUGGAAUGCAAACUAGAAAACCAUCAUUUUCCUGUUGAGCAAAAACAAGAAAAGAUCUCAAACCGAAAAAUACUUAGAUUUUCUUUCAAUCUUUGAUGCCGGCCAAAGAAAUUGACACAAAACUACUGCAAGUAGUAAGUGGGACUUUUACACAGUAAGGCAAUGGCUUAUAGAAGCUGAAUAUUCGUUCCAAUUAAUCCACUGUAGUCAAAUAUUUAACUAUCACUAUGAAGGUUGAGAGCUGCAGAAAACAAUUAUUAUAAUCUUUUGCCCGUCCCACUAGAAAUUUGGUGUAUAACAUGUACUCCUGUAAGAGAAACGUAUGAAUCAGGGUAUUGUCUGGUAACAUGCCUUUCUUCGAUUUUAUUGCAACAAUGAAUUUUGAUGCAUUUGUUUCAAUCAACUAAUAUGUCGAACAGUGUUGUUAAAGGCGUAUUUGAGGCAGGUUUAGAGAUUAGACCGUAAAACUAGGGGUCACAUGUCAGGCACUUCAUUUAGCUUAGAAAAGCUUUGGUGGAGGUACUAAGUAUAAGGGACCACGUCCCUCUAGUUAAUCAAAACAAUAACAUUGUACUACACACCAGAGAGUUGGAAAGUAAAAUGAGACUUGAAGUGACCAAUCAAGUAGACAAAUAAAUUGCUUAAUAAUUUUUUCCAGGAAAAUCAAUUGCGAUUACAGUGUUGCAGAAAUUUAUUUCUCACCUUAAGAACGAAUUACAUACAACUGGAACCAUAUGUCUUGGCUGAACCUAAUGACGUGGUGUAAGAACUGCAAAAGCAUCAACAGAAAAAAGUAUGGAUGAGAAAAAGAGAGAACAAUGGCAACAUCAAUAACCAAAAAAUAUGCAACAAACAGUGAUGAUAGAGAAGCCUGAAAAUAAGCUGAUGAAGAAUUGCAGGCAACUGCCCGAAUUUAUGCAAAGAAAAUAAACAAGGUGGGCCACUUGUAGCAACAUUUCAAGCUCAAAUGAUAAAGAUGUCAAGAGUAGAAAUUACUAUUGAGCCAGGUACCCAAGAAAGCAUGAUAAAGAAUCAAUUGCUUAAACCUUCCCACACGGAAGAAGAACAACUCCAAAUGCUACAUUGUUUGUCUU
Molecule: long non-coding RNA, 1427 nt
Filed under: Nicotiana tabacum (common tobacco)
Lineage: Eukaryota; Viridiplantae; Streptophyta; Magnoliopsida; Solanales; Solanaceae
Description: long non-coding RNA (NTAB_LNC003635)
Source: RNAcentral